UGGGGAAUAUUGCACAAUGGGCGCAAGCCUGAUGCAGCCAUGCCGCGUGUGUGAAGAAGGUCUUCGGAUUGUAAAGCACUUUAAGUUGGGAGGAAGGGCAGUAAGCUAAUACCUUGCUGUUUUGACGUUACCGACAGAAUAAGCACCGGCUAACUCUGUGCCAGCAGCCGCGGUAAUACAGAGGGUGCAAGCGUUAAUCGGAAUUACUGGGCGUAAAGCGCGCGUAGGUGGUUUGUUAAGUUGGAUGUGAAAGCCCCGGGCUCAACCUGGGAACUGCAUCCAAAACUGGCAAGCUAGAGUACGGUAGAGGGUGGUGGAAUUUCCUGUGUAGCGGUGAAAUGCGUAGAUAUAGGAAGGAACACCAGUGGCGAAGGCGACCACCUGGACUGAUACUGACACUGAGGUGCGAAAGCGUGGGGAGCAAACA
RNAcentral lists this ribosomal RNA (427 nucleotides) under uncultured bacterium. RNAcentral's name for it is "partial 16S ribosomal RNA". It matches the Rfam family "Bacterial small subunit ribosomal RNA", at positions 355 to 774 of the family's 1533-position model. The record is from RNAcentral.